UAUUCUGUUUCACCUCAGUCCUUCCUCAUAAUUUUUUUAUUUACUCCUUCCAUUUGCAAAAAAGAUGAUUGAAAUGAUUAUGUUGACAAACACUGAAAUAACGGACAGCUCAACAUGUGGCCCACCUGAUUCAAGGUAAGAGAAAUAUUACCCCCUUAUAGAUGUAAAGUGGAGGGAAAAGCAGAGGAUUAAAGGGAUGGUUUACUGUUUAUUUUUGGUCUCUGGAGAAUGAACCCAGCGGAACAUUUGGACGGGGAGGAGCAUUCUUUCCAUGGACGCACCAUCCACCACAGUUAAAGCGGCCACCAUUUAAAGAUAUAGACCCCACUAUGAGAGGGCUGUUGAUGCAGGCAAAUCUCCCACAGGACGACCUGAAAGACAAAGACAUUGCUGAGACUGUUGACUGCAUCAUCAAAAAAUUUGGAGGGACCAAAGGCUGCGCAGAAAGAGUUGAGGAACAAAGGUACUUCAUCUUAAAAAUGUUGUGCAGUGUAUGGUUCGUUUAUCUUAUUUUGUUUUGUUUUGUCGUUUUUUUUUUUCAUUUUUAUUUUAAGGUAGCAUUUUGGCAUGUUUGACGGGAACAGUCUCUCAGACAUUGCCAAGAGCUGCAGGGGCAUCCAUCUCCAUUGCCCCGAAAAAAGGGCCUUUGCCACCGGUGUGAUGGUUGGGUACCCUUUUGACACAGUAAAGGUGUGUGGUUACUACAAGGGCAUGACGAUGACCUACAGGAAUUCCCUCCGGUAUCUCUGUAAAUUAAUGCAUGGGGAUCCUGAGGCCCGGCCCGCCAAGUGUGACAUCUUCCUCUCAGGCCUGACUGGAGGAGUUGCACAGGUUUUACUGGUUUCCCCAAAAGACAUGGUGAAAUUGCAUCUCCACAGGCCACAGAGAGAACAGACCAGAGUCAGAUUCCUCCUCCUCCACCCGCUCCAGUUCCAGUUGUUCCAGAGAGGAUCAGAAAGUGUGCAAGUUUCAAACAUUAUGAGUUGGACUCCUCAGCAGAUCCAGAAAGAGUUUACCUCAUCCUGACUGCAUUGAGAGAAGUAUUCACUGAAAAGCAGCUGCUCCAGCAAAGCACGAGUACAGAUGAAAGUCAAAUGGAGCCAGAUACUAACAGGGAUGUGGACCCUUA
RNA transcript from Xiphias gladius (swordfish), 1129 nucleotides. It is a transcript of the gene named solute carrier family 25 member 47-like, with no coding region annotated. The transcript is spliced from 3 exons. The record is from RefSeq and is a predicted model, not a curated record. Lineage: Eukaryota; Metazoa; Chordata; Actinopteri; Istiophoriformes; Xiphiidae.